Molecule: ribosomal RNA, 406 nt
Filed under: uncultured bacterium
Lineage: Bacteria
Description: partial 16S ribosomal RNA
Rfam family: Bacterial small subunit ribosomal RNA
Source: RNAcentral
AUUGAACGCUGGCGGCAUGCCUAACACAUGCAAGUCGAACGAGUGGCGGACGGGUGAGUAAUGUCUGGGAACCUGCCCGAUGGAGGGGGAUAACUACUGGAAACGGUAGCUAAUACCGCAUACUAUCAGAUGUGCCCAGAUGGGAUUAGCUAGUUGGUGGGGUAACGGCUCACCAAGGCGACGAUCCCUAGCUGGUCUGAGAGGAUGACCAGCCACACUGGAACUGAGACACGGUCCAGACUCCUACGGGAGGCAGCAGUGGGGAAUUUUGGACAAUGGGGGCAACCCUGAUGCAGCCAUGCCGCGUGUAUGAAGAAGGCCUUCGGGUUGUAAAGUACUUUCAGCGGGGAGGCGGUAUCCGCAGAAUAAGCACCGGCUAACUCCGUGCCAGCAGCCGCGGUAAUAC